RNAcentral lists this ribosomal RNA (1476 nucleotides) under Helicobacter pylori. Its description in RNAcentral is "bacterial SSU rRNA". It matches the Rfam family "Bacterial small subunit ribosomal RNA". The record is from RNAcentral. Lineage: Bacteria; Pseudomonadati; Campylobacterota; Epsilonproteobacteria; Campylobacterales; Helicobacteraceae.
UUUNAGAGUUUGAUUNCCUNGGCUCAGAGUGAACGCUGGCGGCGUGCCUAAUACAUGCAAGUCGAACGAUGAAGCUUCUAGCUUGCUAGAAUGCUGAUUAGUGGCGCACGGGUGAGUAACGCAUAGGUCAUGUGCCUCUUAGUUUGGGAUAGCCAUUGGAAACGAUGAUUAAUACCAGAUACUCCCUACGGGGGAAAGAUUUAUCGCUAAGAGAUCAGCCUAUGUCCUAUCAGCUUGUUGGUAAGGUAAUGGCUUACCAAGGCUAUGACGGGUAUCCGGCCUGAGAGGGUGAACGGACACACUGGAACUGAGACACGGUCCAGACUCCUACGGGAGGCAGCAGUAGGGAAUAUUGCUCAAUGGGGGAAACCCUGAAGCAGCAACGCCGCGUGGAGGAUGAAGGUUUUAGGAUUGUAAACUCCUUUUGUUAGAGAAGAUAAUGACGGUAUCUAACGAAUAAGCACCGGCUAACUCCGUGCCAGCAGCCGCGGUAAUACGGAGGGUGCAAGCGUUACUCGGAAUCACUGGGCGUAAAGAGCGCGUAGGCGGGAUAGUCAGUCAGGUGUGAAAUCCUAUGGCUUAACCAUAGAACUGCAUUUGAAACUACUAUUCUAGAGUGUGGGAGAGGUAGGUGGAAUUCUUGGUGUAGGGGUAAAAUCCGUAGAGAUCAAGAGGAAUACUCAUUGCGAAGGCGACCUGCUGGAACAUUACUGACGCUGAUUGUGCGAAAGCGUGGGGAGCAAACAGGAUUAGAUACCCUGGUAGUCCACGCCCUAAACGAUGGAUGCUAGUUGUUGGAGGGCUUAGUCUCUCCAGUAAUGCAGCUAACGCAUUAAGCAUCCCGCCUGGGGAGUACGGUCGCAAGAUUAAAACUCAAAGGAAUAGACGGGGACCCGCACAAGCGGUGGAGCAUGUGGUUUAAUUCGAAGAUACACGAAGAACCUUACCUAGGCUUGACAUUGAGAGAAUCCGCUAGAAAUAGUGGAGUGUCUAGCUUGCUAGACCUUGAAAACAGGUGCUGCACGGCUGUCGUCAGCUCGUGUCGUGAGAUGUUGGGUUAAGUCCCGCAACGAGCGCAACCCCCUUUCUUAGUUGCUAACAGGUCAUGCUGAGAACUCUAAGGAUACUGCCUCCGUAAGGAGGAGGAAGGUGGGGACGACGUCAAGUCAUCAUGGCCCUUACGCCUAGGGCUACACACGUGCUACAAUGGGGUGCACAAAGAGAAGCAAUACUGCGAAGUGGAGCCAAUCUUCAAAACGCCUCUCAGUUCGGAUUGUAGGCUGCAACUCGCCUGCAUGAAGCUGGAAUCGCUAGUAAUCGCAAAUCAGCCAUGUUGCGGUGAAUACGUUCCCGGGUCUUGUACUCACCGCCCGUCACACCAUGGGAGUUGUGUUUGCCUUAAGUCAGGAUGCUAAAUUGGCUACUGCCCACGGCACACACAGCGACUGGGGUGAAGUCGUAACAAGGUAACCGUAA